AGUAGUUUGAUCAUGGCUCAGGACGACGCUGGCGGCGUGCUUAACACAUGCAAGUCGAACGGUGACCCAGGGCUUGCCCUGGUGAUCAGUGGCGAACGGGUGAGUAACACGUGGGCAACCUGCCCCUGACUUCGGGAUAACUCCUCGAAAGAGGAGCUAAUACCGGAUACGACCACUUCGGACAUCCGAUGGUGGUGGAAAGUUUUUCGGUCAGGGAUGGGCCCGCGGCCUAUCAGCUAGUUGGUGGGGUAAUGGCCUACCAAGGCGACGACGGGUAGCCGGCCUGAGAGGGCGACCGGCCACACUGGGACUGAGACACGGCCCAGACUCCUACGGGAGGCAGCAGUGGGGAAUAUUGCGCAAUGGGCGAAAGCCUGACGCAGCGACGCCGCGUGAGGGAUGAAGGCCUUCGGGUUGUAAACCUCUUUCAGCAGGGACGAAGCGAAAGUGACGGUACCUGCAGAAGAAGCACCGGCUAACUACGUG
Molecule: ribosomal RNA, 486 nt
Filed under: uncultured bacterium
Lineage: Bacteria
Description: bacterial SSU rRNA
Rfam family: Bacterial small subunit ribosomal RNA
Source: RNAcentral